AGUGAACGCUGGCGGUAGGCCUAACACAUGCAAGUCGAACGGCAGCACAGUAAGAGCUUGCUCUUACGGGUGGCGGGUGGCGGACGAGUGAGGAAUACAUCGGAAUCUACUUUUUCGUGGGGGAUAACGUAGGGAAACUUACGCUAAUACCGCAUACGACCUACGGGUGAAAGCAGGGGAUCUUCGGACCUUGCGCGAUUGAAUGAGCCGAUGUCGGAUUAGCUAGUUGGCGGGGUAAAGGCCCACCAAGGCGACGAUCCGUAGCUGGUCUGAGAGGAUGAUCAGCCACACUGGAACUGAGACACGGUCCAGACUCCUACGGGAGGCAGCAGUGGGGAAUAUUGGACAAAGGGCGCAAGCCUGAUCCAGCCAUACCGCGUGGGUGAAGAAGGCCUUCGGGUUGUAAAGCCCUUUUGUUGGGAAAGAAAAGCAGCAGGUUAAUACCCCGCUGUUCUGACGGUACCCAAAGAAUAAGCACCGGCUAACUUCGUG
RNAcentral lists this ribosomal RNA (492 nucleotides) under uncultured bacterium. Its description in RNAcentral is "partial 16S ribosomal RNA". It matches the Rfam family "Bacterial small subunit ribosomal RNA", at positions 29 to 507 of the family's 1533-position model. The record is from RNAcentral.